UGCCGGUGCUCCCUUGCUGGCACCGGUGCUCCCCUACCCGCACGGCCGGCCGGAUACUGCAUGGCGGCGCUAGCGCUGCACGAAGAUGAGCCUUCAUAGUCCUUACUCUCUCUGUCUCCCUCAACGAGCACUACGUGCCACGGAUGCGGCGUCGAUGUUGGAGGUGUACCGGUGCUACUGGCACUGGCUCCUCGGCUUUCUCAUCUCCACUGGUGGCGAGGUGGCGGCGCCCUCGAUGUCUCCUGCAUUGACCUCGACAUCAUCAGCGCCGACUACGCGCUCGAGUGCGUCGCCUUUGGUUAGCCUGGCAGAACCUCUCCGGAUCUUCAUGGAUCUCGGUUCGUUGUCGAAGGGGAGCGGGCAAGCGUCGCGCCGUCAGAUGUUGUCGAGCGGGCACAGGCGAGCAUGGCGCAGAACCAAUCUAGUAUUCUAGUCCGUCGUAGAGGCCUUCUCCUGAGUCCUGAGGAAUACACUUGCACUAGGACUCUGAAUGUUUUAGUUUCAGUUCACUGUUGUGUCAAUAUGCACUAGAGGCUUCCUGAGGGAAUCGAAGACCAAGCUGCUCUCAAAUCACAUCUUGUCUGCACUAAUGGCAUUGGGAAGGUGAUGUUUAUUUGCAAGCACGAGCAGGGCAGCAUCUCUGAAUCCCUCCUCAUCCUAUCACUUCCAUUCCGCGAGUUCAUACAGCGUUAGAAGGCUACUGCAAGUGCAAGCAAAGGCUGAACUGAGACGAUGUGCGUGGUAGGUUGUUGAGCGACUGUAGACGAACAAGAUCAGGCCCCGUGAUGAGCCAGAGGUGGCAUUGGAGAUGCCCAUCACUUGUUUGACAAAAUGCCUCAAAGAGAUAACCUUACCAGCUAAGGCCUUGUUUAGUUCCAAAAUAUUUUGCAAAAUUGACACUGUAGCUUUUUCGUUUGUAUUUGACAAAUAUUGUCCAAUCAUGGACUAACUAGGCUCAAAAGAUUUAUCUCGUCAAUUUCG
Molecule: long non-coding RNA, 981 nt
Filed under: Sorghum bicolor (sorghum)
Lineage: Eukaryota; Viridiplantae; Streptophyta; Magnoliopsida; Poales; Poaceae
Description: long non-coding RNA (SBIC_LNC000380)
Source: RNAcentral